Oncorhynchus keta (chum salmon) is the source of this 480-nucleotide long non-coding RNA. RefSeq lists it as uncharacterized. The transcript is spliced from 3 exons. The record is from RefSeq and is a predicted model, not a curated record. NCBI's taxonomy places the organism in Eukaryota, Metazoa, Chordata, Actinopteri, Salmoniformes, Salmonidae.
UCUGGAAUUCUCUAGCUCAGGCCACAUACUGAAUGAACACGGUGGGCUUCUGGUGUCUGAUUAGGUUUUGACGAGUACUGGGGUGUAAUCCCUGGGGGAAUAUUUACAAGUAGAGGGAGAAGGGAGAACCCUCACCCCAACAGAGGUCAGAGACCCCUCACCCCAACAGAGGUCAGAGACCCCUCACCCCAACAGAGGUCAGAAACUCCCUCACCCCAACAGAGGUCAGAAACUCCCUCACCCCAACAGAGGUCAGAAACCCCCUCACCCCAACAGAGGUCAGAAACUCCCUCACCCCAGAGGUCAGAGACCCCCUCACCCCAACAGAGGUCAGAAACCCCCUCACCCCAACAGAGGUCAGAAACUCCCUCACCCCAGAGGUCAGAAACUCCCUCACCCCAACAGAGGUCAGAGACCCCCUCACCCCAACAGAGGUUAAAGGUCAGAAACCCCCUCACCCCAACAGAGGUCAGAAACCCC